Molecule: ribosomal RNA, 655 nt
Filed under: Escherichia coli
Lineage: Bacteria; Pseudomonadati; Pseudomonadota; Gammaproteobacteria; Enterobacterales; Enterobacteriaceae
Also listed under: 2 other names
Description: bacterial SSU rRNA
Rfam family: Bacterial small subunit ribosomal RNA
Source: RNAcentral
GCCUGGGGAGUACGGCCGCAAGGUUAAAACUCAAAUGAAUUGACGGGGGCCCGCACAAGCGGUGGAGCAUGUGGUUUAAUUCGAUGCAACGCGAAGAACCUUACCUGGUCUUGACAUCCACGGAAGUUUUCAGAGAUGAGAAUGUGCCUUCGGGAACCGUGAGACAGGUGCUGCAUGGCUGUCGUCAGCUCGUGUUGUGAAAUGUUGGGUUAAGUCCCGCAACGAGCGCAACCCUUAUCCUUUGUUGCCAGCGGUCCGGCCGGGAACUCAAAGGAGACUGCCAGUGAUAAACUGGAGGAAGGUGGGGAUGACGUCAAGUCAUCAUGGCCCUUACGACCAGGGCUACACACGUGCUACAAUGGCGCAUACAAAGAGAAGCGACCUCGCGAGAGCAAGCGGACCUCAUAAAGUGCGUCGUAGUCCGGAUUGGAGUCUGCAACUCGACUCCAUGAAGUCGGAAUCGCUAGUAAUCGUGGAUCAGAAUGCCACGGUGAAUACGUUCCCGGGCCUUGUACACACCGCCCGUCACACCAUGGGAGUGGGUUGCAAAAGAAGUAGGUAGCUUAACCUUCGGGAGGGCGCUUACCACUUUGUGAUUCAUGACUGGGGUGAAGUCGUAACAAGGUAACCGUAGGGGAACCUGCGGUUGGAUCAC